Molecule: ribosomal RNA, 433 nt
Filed under: uncultured bacterium
Lineage: Bacteria
Description: bacterial SSU rRNA
Rfam family: Bacterial small subunit ribosomal RNA
Source: RNAcentral
AACGAACGUUGGCGGCGUGGCUUAGGCAUGCAAGUCGAACGAGAAAGUUUCCUUCGGGGAGCGAGUAUAGUGGCAAAAGGGUGAGUAAUGAUUAGUUAACCUACCCCUAAAAACUGGGAUAACCUACCCGAAAGGGGUUGCUAAUACCGGGAUGGUCUAUGAGAGAUGCAUAUCGUUUUAUAGUAAAGGCGCUCGCAAGGGUGUCGAUUAGGGAGGGGAUUAAUUCCUAUUAGCUAGUUGGUGAGGUAAUGGCUCUACCAAGGCAUUGAUGGGUAACCGAUCUGAGAGGAUGACCGGUCACACUGGGACUGAGACACUGCCCAGACUCCUACGGGGAGGCUGCAGUCGCGAAUAUUCCGCAAUGGACGCAAGUCUGACGGAGCGACGCCGCGUGUGGGAUGAAGGCCUUAGGGUUGUAAACCCACUGUCACAC